RNAcentral lists this ribosomal RNA (2924 nucleotides) under Salmonella enterica. Its description in RNAcentral is "23S ribosomal RNA". It matches the Rfam family "Bacterial large subunit ribosomal RNA". Lineage: Bacteria; Pseudomonadati; Pseudomonadota; Gammaproteobacteria; Enterobacterales; Enterobacteriaceae. The record is from RNAcentral.
GGGUUGUGAGGUUAAGCGACUAAGCGUACACGGUGGAUGCCCUGGCAGUCAGAGGCGAUGAAGGGCGUGCUAAUCUGCGAUAAGCGCCGGUAAGGUGAUAUGAACCGUUAUAACCGGCGAUACCCGAAUGGGGAAACCCAGUGUGACUCGUCACACUAUCAUUAACUGAAUCCAUAGGUUAAUGAGGCGAACCGGGGGAACUGAAACAUCUAAGUACCCCGAGGAAAAGAAAUCAACCGAGAUUCCCCCAGUAGCGGCGAGCGAACGGGGAGGAGCCCAGAGCCUGAAUCAGCAUGUGUGUUAGUGGAAGCGUCUGGAAAGGCGCGCGAUACAGGGUGACAGCCCCGUACACAAAAGCGCAUGUGCUGUGAGCUCGAUGAGUAGGGCGGGACACGUGGUAUCCUGUCUGAAUAUGGGGGGACCAUCCUCCAAGGCUAAAUACUCCUGACUGACCGAUAGUGAACCAGUACCGUGAGGGAAAGGCGAAAAGAACCCCGGCGAGGGGAGUGAAAAAGAACCUGAAACCGUGUACGUACAAGCAGUGGGAGCACCCUUUGGGUGUGACUGCGUACCUUUUGUAUAAUGGGUCAGCGACUUAUAUUCUGUAGCAAGGUUAACCGAAUAGGGGAGCCGGAGGGAAACCGAGUCUUAACCGGGCGUUAAGUUGCAGGGUAUAGACCCGAAACCCGGUGAUCUAGCCAUGGGCAGGUUGAAGGUUGGGUAACACUAACUGGAGGACCGAACCGACUAAUGUUGAAAAAUUAGCGGAUGACCUGUGGCUGGGGGUGAAAGGCCAAUCAAACCGGGAGAUAGCUGGUUCUCCCCGAAAGCUAUUUAGGUAGCGCCUCGUGAAUUCAUCUCCGGGGGUAGAGCACUGUUUCGGCUAGGGGGCCAUCCCGGCUUACCAACCCGAUGCAAACUGCGAAUACCGGAGAAUGUUAUCACGGGAGACACACGGCGGGUGCUAACGUCCGUCGUGAAGAGGGAAACAACCCAGACCGCCAGCUAAGGUCCCAAAGUCAUGGUUAAGUGGGAAACGAUGUGGGAAGGCCCAGACAGCCAGGAUGUUGGCUUAGAAGCAGCCAUCAUUUAAAGAAAGCGUAAUAGCUCACUGGUCGAGUCGGCCUGCGCGGAAGAUGUAACGGGGCUAAACCAUGCACCGAAGCUGCGGCAGCGACACUGUGUGUUGUUGGGUAGGGGAGCGUUCUGUAAGCCUGCGAAGGUGGCCUGUGAGGGUUGCUGGAGGUAUCAGAAGUGCGAAUGCUGACAUAAGUAACGAUAAAGCGGGUGAAAAGCCCGCUCGCCGGAAGACCAAGGGUUCCUGUCCAACGUUAAUCGGGGCAGGGUGAGUCGACCCCUAAGGCGAGGCCGAAAGGCGUAGUCGAUGGGAAACGGGUUAAUAUUCCCGUACUUGGUGUUACUGCGAAGGGGGGACGGAGAAGGCUAUGUUGGCCGGGCGACGGUUGUCCCGGUUUAAGCGUGUAGGUGUGUGUUCCGUGUAAAUCCGGUUCACUUUAACACUGAGGCGUGACGACGAGGCACUACGGUGCUGAAGCAACAAAUGCCCUGCUUCCGGAAAAGCCUCUAAGCAUCAGGUAACAUCAAAUCGUACCCCAAACCGACACAGGUGGUCAGGUAGAGAAUACCAAGGCGCUUGAGAGAACUCGGGUGAAGGAACUAGGCAAAAUGGUGCCGUAACUUCGGGAGAAGGCACGCUGACACGUAGGUGAAGUGAUUUACUCAUGGAGCUGAAGUCAGUCGAAGAUACCAGCUGGCUGCAACUGUUUAUUAAAAACACAGCACUGUGCAAACACGAAAGUGGACGUAUACGGUGUGACGCCUGCCCGGUGCCGGAAGGUUAAUUGAUGGGGUCAGCGCAAGCGAAGCUCCUGAUCGAAGCCCCGGUAAACGGCGGCCGUAACUAUAACGGUCCUAAGGUAGCGAAAUUCCUUGUCGGGUAAGUUCCGACCUGCACGAAUGGCGUAAUGAUGGCCGGGCUGUCUCCACCCGAGACUCAGUGAAAUUGAACUCGCUGUGAAGAUGCAGUGUACCCGCGGCAAGACGGAAAGACCCCGUGAACCUUUACUAUAGCUUGACACUGAACAUUGAGCCUUGAUGUGUAGGAUAGGUGGGAGGCUUUGAAGUGUGGACGCCAGUCUGCAUGGAGCCGACCUUGAAAUACCACCCUUUAAUGUUUGAUGUUCUAACGUGGACCCGUUACCCGGGUUGCGGACAGUGUCUGGUGGGUAGUUUGACUGGGGCGGUCUCCUCCUAAAGAGUAACGGAGGAGCACGAAGGUUGGCUAAUCCUGGUCGGACAUCAGGAGGUUAGUGCAAUGGCAUAAGCCAGCUUGACUGCGAGCGUGACGGCGCGAGCAGGUGCGAAAGCAGGUCAUAGUGAUCCGGUGGUUCUGAAUGGAAGGGCCAUCGCUCAACGGAUAAAAGGUACUCCGGGGAUAACAGGCUGAUACCGCCCAAGAGUUCAUAUCGACGGCGGUGUUUGGCACCUCGAUGUCGGCUCAUCACAUCCUGGGGCUGAAGUAGGUCCCAAGGGUAUGGCUGUUCGCCAUUUAAAGUGGUACGCGAGCUGGGUUUAGAACGUCGUGAGACAGUUCGGUCCCUAUCUGCCGUGGGCGCUGGAGAACUGAGGGGGGCUGCUCCUAGUACGAGAGGACCGGAGUGGACGCAUCACUGGUGUUCGGGUUGUCAUGCCAAUGGCACUGCCCGGUAGCUAAAUGCGGAAGAGAUAAGUGCUGAAAGCAUCUAAGCACGAAACUUGCCCCGAGAUGAGUUCUCCCUGAGACUUAGAGUCUCCUGAAGGAACGUUGAAGACGACGACGUUGAUAGGCCGGGUGUGUAAGCGCAGCGAUGCGUUGAGCUAACCGGUACUAAUGAACCGUGAGGCUUAACCUUACAACGCCGAAG